This 303-nucleotide ribosomal RNA is filed under the name Triticum aestivum (bread wheat). RNAcentral describes it as "partial small subunit ribosomal RNA". Lineage: Eukaryota; Viridiplantae; Streptophyta; Magnoliopsida; Poales; Poaceae. The record is from RNAcentral.
AUGGUUGGUUGGAUUGAGUUUUGUAUGGAUUCUACAAGGGCCAUUUCUAUGGAAUUACAAAUUAGUUUUACAUUUUUAUGGCUGGGCUCAUUGUCUUUCGAUUGCCCACAUUCGGAUGGGUUUGUUAUCAAGUGGACACCACAACCACCAUCAAUAGGGCGGGAAUGGAGGUGUGUGAUAUUUUUUUUCCCGUUGCAACGCACGGGCAUUUUUGCUAGUAAUAAUAAAGAAAAUUGGGUUUCUGUCGUCCGUCAUGAAAUUGCCCCUGAAGUUGUAAAUAUUUACCCGCCAUGCCACCGGUAA